RNAcentral lists this ribosomal RNA (252 nucleotides) under uncultured bacterium. RNAcentral describes it as "partial 16S ribosomal RNA". It matches the Rfam family "Bacterial small subunit ribosomal RNA", at positions 524 to 776 of the family's 1533-position model. The record is from RNAcentral.
UACGGAGGAUGCGAGCGUUAUCCGGAUUUAUUGGGUUUAAAGGGUGCGUAGGCGGUCCGUUAAGUCAGCAGUAAAAUUGCGGGGCUCAACCCCGUCGAGCCGUUGAAACUGGCAGACUUGAGUUGGCGAGAAGUACGCGGAAUGCGCGGUGUAGCGGUGUAAUGCAUAGAUAUCGCGCAGAACUCCGAUUGCGAAGGCAGCGUACCGGCGCCAGACUGACGCUGAGGCACGAAAGCGUGGGGAUCGAACAGG